CCUACGGGGUGCAGCAGUGAGGAAUAUUGGUCAAUGGACGAGAGUCUGAACCAGCCAAGUAGCGUGAAGGAUGACUGCCCUAUGGGUUGUAAACUUCUUUUAUAUGGGAAUAAAACGUUCCACGUGUGGGAUUUUGUAUGUACCAUAUGAAUAAGGAUCGGCUAACUCCGUGCCAGCAGCCGCGGUAAUACGGAGGAUCCGAGCGUUAUCCGGAUUUAUUGGGUUUAAAGGGAGCGUAGGUGGAGUGUUAAGUCAGUUGUGAAAGUUUGCGGCUCAACCGUAAAAUUGCAGUUGAAACUGGCAGUCUUGAGUACAGUAGAGGUGGGCGGAAUUCGUGGUGUAGCGGUGAAAUGCUUAGAUAUCACGAAGAACUCCGAUUGCGAAGGCAGUUCACUGGACCGCAACUGACACUGAGGCUCGAAAGUGUGGGUAUCAAACAGGAUUAGAUACCCGAGUAGUC
Molecule: ribosomal RNA, 460 nt
Filed under: uncultured bacterium
Lineage: Bacteria
Description: partial 16S ribosomal RNA
Rfam family: Bacterial small subunit ribosomal RNA
Source: RNAcentral